Molecule: ribosomal RNA, 253 nt
Filed under: uncultured bacterium
Lineage: Bacteria
Description: partial 16S ribosomal RNA
Rfam family: Bacterial small subunit ribosomal RNA
Source: RNAcentral
UACGGAGGGGGCUAGCGUUGUUCGGAAUUACUGGGCGUAAAGCGCACGUAGGCGGCUUUGUAAGUUAGAGGUGAAAGCCCGGGGCUCAACUCCGGAAUUGCCUUUAAGACUGCAUCGCUAGAAUUGUGGAGAGGUGAGUGGAAUUCCGAGUGUAGAGGUGAAAUUCGUAGAUAUUCGGAAGAACACCAGUGGCGAAGGCGACUUCCUGGCCUGUUCUUGACGCUGAGGCGCGAAAGCUAGGGGAGCAAACGGG